This 1772-nucleotide long non-coding RNA is filed under the name Gossypium raimondii (Peruvian cotton). Its description in RNAcentral is "long non-coding RNA (GRAI_LNC003287)". The record is from RNAcentral. Lineage: Eukaryota; Viridiplantae; Streptophyta; Magnoliopsida; Malvales; Malvaceae.
CUUUUUUCUUUCUAUUUUCUUUCUUCUCCUUCCUCUUCAUCUCUCGAACCCUAGCCCGCCGCCGCUUAUGCCGCGGUUACGAUCCCCGCUUGGUGGUGCGACGGUGGCCGGUAUCUCCUCUCCUCUUUUUUCUUUUCUUUCUUUCCUUUCCUUUUUCCUUUCUCUCUUUCUCUCUUUUUGGUUGCUGUUUUUUCUUUGCUUGCUGUUUUUAUAUAUUUUUUGCUUGUUGCUUUGUUUGCUUGUGUAGGGGCGACGGUGGUGGUGGCGUCACGAUGGCGGUGCGACGACGGUGGUUGCGGGAGCGCGACGGUGAUGAGGGCCCUUUUGCUGCUGUUUUCUUAAUUUUUUUCUUUUUCUUUUGUAAAAAUCCAACCCCCUCUCCUUUCCUCUCACUUUUUUCUUUUAAAUCUUUCAACUUUGUCUCUUUCUUCUUUGUUUUCAGGUGGCAGCGGAGGAGGAGGAGGUACGCCAGACGACCGAUUGGGCGUGUCAGGCGUGGAGAACGGGGCACGCCCGAAUGCUGAUUGGGAGUAGUCUUGUCAUGCCCAGAAGGACUAAAUUGUAACGGGUGCAAAGUUUCUGGGGCAAAAAUGCAAAUUUAGGAAAAUAUGGGGCUAAAAUGUAAUUUCUUAAAAGUUAAGCGGUCAAAAUGUAAUUUAAAGAAAAUUUAGGGGUUUAAAUGUAAUUUAUAGAAAAGUUUGGGGUCAAAAUAUAAAUUUCAAAAAGUACAGGGGCUAAAAUGUAAUUUAUAUUUUUUGUAUUUUUUUUGAGAUUUUUUACUAUUAUUUUAUUAAUAUUUAAAACAGAAAUUAAAAAAAUAGGCUAAAACAAGUUGAAAAUUAAAUCUUAAUGGGCUUAAUCAUUGGGCCCAUACGAAACCAAAUCGGCCCAAAACCCUAAUCGGGCAAAAUUCAGUGAUGACAGCCGCCAUGGCCGACUGGCAGUGGCGAAAAGCUGGGUUCUCGACCCUUUUUGACGACCGACUUAAGGCCGAGCCUUCAUGGCCCUAAGGCCAUGGGAAGAAACCCCAAACGCCACCCCUUUUCGACCCGAUUUCAGUGACCCGAAGGACUCCGACGACGGCGCACGUGGGGAGGUUCGGGUAUGUUUCCUUCUCCCCUCUUUCUCUAUUAAUAGUUUCACUUUUUAAUAGAUUUGUAAAUGAAAAAAAAUAGGUGAAAAAAGAAAAAAAAUAAUCGAUUGAAAAACGAAGAACAGUACCCUUUUUUAUAUUUCUGAUUCUCUGAUAUGCGUUUUUUACAAAGAAAAUCGAAGAAAAAAAAACAGUGAUAAGCUUCGGCCUUUAUAGCCGAUUUCAAACUCCUAAAUCAAUUGUUUUUAUCAUUUUGCGUUUGGAUUGUGCUUGUUUGUCAUUUUCUGUUUUGUCUCUGUUGCAGGCGAUCUAACGAGCGUGGAGGGGCAAUGGGACACGACGACGGUGGCAUGCGAGGGUGUGAAGCGGCACUGGAGGCUGAAGACCUAGGUGCGGCGCACCUAAGGUUUUCCCUUGGCUGAAAGCUACUGAAUUUGUGGGCUAGGGUUUUAAUUUUUUUUGGUCUGUUGGGUUUGAAUUAGGCUGGUCCAAUUUUAGGUUAGUGGGCUUUAGUUUAGCUACUAGGCCUGGGUCAAAAAUUGGUCUGUACAAUUUUCACACGUAUACGUAUGUAAUAAGAUUUCUAGUAUAGAUAAUAUGGUUGAUUGAGCUAAUGUCACGGAUCAACUCAAUAUUGUAUCUUUUCAAAAAAAAAUUAAUAUUGAAUUUUCCUUUCACC